GCGGUGAAAUGCGUAGAUAUCGGGAAGAACACCCGUGGCUAAGGCGGCUCUCUAGUACGGUACUGACGCUGAGACGCGAAAGCGUGGGGAGCGAACAGGAUUAGAUACCCCGGUAGUCCUAGCUGUAAACGAUGAUCGCUGGGUGUGGGGGGUUUUUACUCCCUCCGUGCCGAAGCUAACGCAUUAAGCGAUCCGCCUGGGGAGUACGGUCGCAAGGCUGAAACUCAAAUGAAUUGACGG
Molecule: ribosomal RNA, 240 nt
Filed under: uncultured bacterium
Lineage: Bacteria
Description: partial 16S ribosomal RNA
Rfam family: Bacterial small subunit ribosomal RNA
Source: RNAcentral